AGAGUUUGAUCCUGGCUCAGAAUGAUCGUUGGCGGCGUGGAUUAGGCAUGCAAGUCGAGCGAGAACCGGUUUCGGCCGGGGACAGCGGCGAACGGCGUAGUAAUGCAUCGGAACGUACCCUCUGGUCGGGGAUAGCUACGGGAAACUGUAGGUAAUACCCGAUGAUCUCUGCGGAGCAAAGGUGAGAUUCCGCCGGAGGAGCGGCUGAUGUGAUAUUAGCUAGUUGGUGGGGUAAUGGCCUACCAAGGCGAUGAUGUCUAGGGGGUGUGAGAGCAUGGCCCCCACGACCGGAACUGAGAUACUGUCCGGACACCUACGGGUGGCUGCAGUCGAGAAUCUUCCGCAAUGGACGAAAGUCUGACGGAGCGACGCCGCGUGCGGGAUGAAGGCCCUUGGGCUGUAAACCGCUGUCAGAGGGGAUGAAAUCUUCGGAGGUACUCCUCCGAAGUUGACAGAGCCUCAAAGGAAGCACGGGCUAAGUACGUGCCAGCAGCCGCGGUAACACGUACUGUGCGAACGUUAUUCGGAAUCACUGGGCUUAAAGGGUGCGUAGGCGGCGAAUCAAGUCAGGUGUGAAAGGCCUGAGCUCAACUGAGGCAUUGCGCUUGAAACUGAUUUGCUUGAGUAUCCCAGGGGUGUGCGGAACUGCCAGUGGAGCGGUGAAAUGUGUUGAUAUUGGCAGGAACACCGGAGGCGAAAGCGGCACACUGGGGGAUAACUGACGCUGAGGCACGAAAGCCAGGGGAGCGAACGGGAUUAGAUACCCCGGUAGUCCUGGCUGUAAACGA
RNAcentral lists this ribosomal RNA (788 nucleotides) under uncultured bacterium. RNAcentral describes it as "bacterial SSU rRNA". It matches the Rfam family "Bacterial small subunit ribosomal RNA", at positions 8 to 809 of the family's 1533-position model. The record is from RNAcentral.